UACUGUGCUAUUUCUGCUUGUCAAUGCCCAAUCUCACCAGAUCUGAGAGGCUAAGCAGGGCUGGGCCUGGUUACUACUUGGAUGGAAGACCACAGGUAAUACCAGGUGCCACAAUGG
Molecule: ribosomal RNA, 117 nt
Filed under: Periophthalmus magnuspinnatus
Lineage: Eukaryota; Metazoa; Chordata; Actinopteri; Gobiiformes; Gobiidae
Source: RNAcentral